Long non-coding RNA from Pomacea canaliculata, 252 nucleotides. RefSeq lists it as uncharacterized. The record is from RefSeq and is a predicted model, not a curated record. NCBI's taxonomy places the organism in Eukaryota, Metazoa, Mollusca, Gastropoda, Architaenioglossa, Ampullariidae. The transcript has 3 exons.
GUGACACUUCAGAACAUUCCUUGACUCCGGGAACCACAGGAAUGUUCAACACACCAGAAGGAAGAGCGGCUCCGCUUUAUGAUGCAUUGCAAAUGAAAGAUGUUGGAAUGCAAUCACAAUAUGAAGAAAUACUGCGACAGCGCAAUACCUCUGGAAGAUCUUCAUAUGAAGAUGUGAGCAGCCCUAUGAGCCAGACGAGAAUCGAACCCACAUACGUGAACUGAUAAACGCAGUUGUUAAAGUGCUCUGAGU